Long non-coding RNA from Leopardus geoffroyi (Geoffroy's cat), 242 nucleotides. RefSeq lists it as uncharacterized. The record is from RefSeq and is a predicted model, not a curated record. The transcript has 3 exons. NCBI's taxonomy places the organism in Eukaryota, Metazoa, Chordata, Mammalia, Carnivora, Felidae.
CAUCCAGAUGCAGGAGAUACACGUGACUCCGAGAACAGUGGCUGCACCAGCUUGCAUUCCCAUAACUGCAUCUACAAUAUUACAAAGAAGAAAAACUUAAAUGCACAUAAAUGGCUUGCUGAAGAAAGAAACAGCUUCAUGUCAAGGCAACUUGGAAGUUGGAAGUUGAAGGAAACUGUUAUGUAAAUAAAGAAGACUGAUAAAACAGAAGAAAAUGGGGCAAGUAAAGACACCUUGUUCAG